RNAcentral lists this ribosomal RNA (440 nucleotides) under uncultured bacterium. Its description in RNAcentral is "partial 16S ribosomal RNA". It matches the Rfam family "Bacterial small subunit ribosomal RNA", at positions 338 to 795 of the family's 1533-position model. The record is from RNAcentral.
CCUACGGGUGGCAGCAGUGGGGGAUAUUGCACAAUGGGGGGAACCCUGAUGCAGCGACGCCGCGUGGGUGAAGAAGCGCCUCGGCGCGUAAAGCCCUGUCAGCAGGGAAGAAAAUGACGGUACCUGAAGAAGAAGCCCCGGCUAACUACGUGCCAGCAGCCGCGGUAAUACGUAGGGGGCGAGCGUUGUCCGGAAUCACUGGGCGUAAAGGGCGCGUAGGCGGUAAUAUAAGUCAGAUGUGAAAGGUGGGGGCUCAACCCCUAGAGUGCAACUGAUACUGUAUAACUUGAGUAUGAGAGAGGGAAGCGGAAUUCCUAGUGUAGCGGUGAAAUGCGUAGAUAUUAGGAGGAACACCAGUGGCGAAGGCGGCUUUCUGGCUCAUAACUGACGCUGAGGCGCGAAAGCGUGGGGAGCAAACAGGAUUAGAUACCCCUGUAGUC